Long non-coding RNA from Lytechinus pictus (painted urchin), 2882 nucleotides. RefSeq lists it as uncharacterized. The transcript has 4 exons. The record is from RefSeq and is a predicted model, not a curated record. NCBI's taxonomy places the organism in Eukaryota, Metazoa, Echinodermata, Echinoidea, Temnopleuroida, Toxopneustidae.
UUCAGAUCAUCUACUCAAGAGUUGCUAGAGUAUGCAAGAGUGAUAAUGGAGGAAACUUCUUGUUGGAGGAAAACUGGACAACCUUCCGCAAGGCUCGUCUCAACUGCUCUAUCCCUGGCCAGAUUCCAUUCUCAUUCAAUGAGAUAGAAAGCACCUACUAUGACAAUGAGACUGGAACAAUAUACACAGUUUUCUCAACCCCAAGCAACAGCAUCCAUGGCUCAGCUGUCUGUGCAUUCACCUUGGAGGCAAUAAACGAAGCCUUCUCAGGUCCAUUCACCUUUCAGCCCAAUGCAGCAUCAGCGUGGAUCACCAAACCAAACUCAAGCCCAGAGGUAAGCUCAAGCUCAACAUAAUUUUUUUUUUUUAAUUCCCUGAUAUUUUUCUUCUUUUCUCCUAUUUUUCUUCUGCUCUCCCUCCCAUGCAGUAAAUCUUUGUUCCUACAUUAUCUCCUCUUUUACCCCAUCCCUUCCUUACCUUCUCUCAACCUUCCAAUCCCCUUUUCACUUUUCUUCUCACUCACUUUCCCUUUGAUCUGUCCCUACCUCCUUCCUACACUGCUUCUAUCUUCUUUAAUCUUCUCCUUCAUCUCCUUCUCUCUCUCCAUACCUCUUGCCUGUCAGUCCUUUGUCCUUCUUUCCCUUUUUGUUAUUCCUUCCUUCUCCCCUCCCUACUCCUUAUCUUCUUUCCCUUCCGAUUUCUUCCUUCUCCUUUCUUUCGCUUCCCUCUAAUACUCUUUCCCCCUUCCUUAUUUUUGUUUUGAUAUCUCCCCCUAUCCAUUCCUUAACAUACUAUCCCCUUCCCUCAUCCUUUCUUUCCCCUAGCUUAUUUCAUCUUCCUGUCCCUGCAUGGCCCUUAUCUUAACCCCUCCCUGUUGCAUUCUUUCCCUUUUUCAUUUCUUGUUUUAGCAAGAAGCAUCAUGUUCAAGCACCAUUCUCGCCCCAGGUAUAACCAACUGAAAACCAGCAUACAUGAAUGGCACAUGAACUGUACGAUUGAUUGACAUGCCAAAUUCACGUUAUAGAGGCUGGCAAGAAAUAUACAUAUAAACCCAUUGAUUCCUGGAAUCUAGUAACCCCAGUAUUAACCAGAAUUAGAAAGCUCAGGAGUGAAUUGAAUUCAUGUUUAUGGUAACUGGUCUUUAGCCGAAAGUUCAUAAUACGUUAUUUCUGUUUUCGAGAGAAGUAAAGUAAUAUAAAGCUGGGUGAAUUCAAACCAAUAUGCACACCUUCUUUUUAUCAUUAGAGUCAUAUCUAAACCAAAAAAAAAAUGUCACCCACUUGUAUAUAGUGAUAUAAUAAUGAAUUUUUUGAGUAAUAUUAGAUUGAAUAGAAGAAAUACAAUAUUAUUGCUGACAAUAACAUAAACUGCUUAAUGCAAUCCCAAACUAUCAAUUCCAACUUCCAAAUGGGAAUAUGAAGGGGAUGUGAGGGGGUGGGUAAUCCAGCCUCUUUUAUCUCUGUCAUAUUUUCUUUUUACUCAAAUAGUGAAGUCCAUAAUGAUUUUAAAAUUCUCAUCAUCAAUAACACAUCUGGAUCUGUGCAUCUGUCAUUCCCCGGAGAAAAAGUGUUUCCAUAAAGCACCCUAGAUCCGGUCUUUUAUUUUGCUUUACUCUUAUCUCGGAAUGAAUUCGUUUUCGAUGAGUGAUGGUGGAUUCUGGAUGAUAAUCGCAGGAUUUGAUGCAUUCAUAAUGAGGAUCAUUAAGAAAUGCAUUCUUAUUGAAAGGUGCAGGUAUCUUGAAAUGCUAAUAAUGAUGCUGAAUUAUUACCAAUUGUGAGAUAGUUCUUAAUUGUUGAAUGUUACUAAAUGCUUAAGGGUUACAAUAUGGGUAUAAGGUGAAAUUAGUGUGUUUACUGGAAUCAUUCUUAUUUUGGUAAAAAGACAUUUUAAAUUAAAUAUGAACAAGAAUAUAAAUUCUUAAGUGGAAAGGCCAAAAAAUAUAUUGCGGUCACAAUGAAAGUUUGAUGAAAUUAUUCAUACAAUCGGAUGAUAUUUGCAAGCUGGUUAAUAUCACAAAAGAGCAAAUUAUGUUUUUGAGCAUAUUAGUGGGCAAGUGGGAGUAUUAUGCAGACCACCCAUCUUAAUAUAAUUUGAAGAGAAAGGAACUGUUUAUGAAAGAACUGCCCCAAUUAUGACGAAAGUGAUAUUUCAAAUUGUAAGCCAUCUGGAAAGUGCUCGAAAAUCUUCCGUAGGUGGUCAAUUACUGUGUUUUAUAAUUCUGCCUUUUGAAAUGCUCUAAAGGAACAAACAAAAAUGCACCGGCUUUUAUCUUAUUACAGUUUGUAUUGUUGGAAAUGCAGAAAGAAACUUUGGUUGAAAUCCCUGCUUGAAGGAGAAACUUGAACUCAGAAAAAGAAAGGAUAAAUUCUGAACGAGAAGAGGUUCGUCCGUCCGGUCAUUGCCCUAAUUCUCCAUCGAGACUCACUCCUACCUAAGCUUUAUAUCUCAACAUAGAAAUUAGAUUUGUUCUUACAAUAUUUCAUUUUUCGUUUUUGUGAUAUUUAGAUGAGAAAUGUCUCAGUGGAUUUAUUUAAGUGCUUGGAAAUAUAUGGACAAAUUUCUGAUUGUAAAUAUUGUUUUGCUUGUCUAGAGUGCAAUGGGCAUAAGAUUAUAGAAAAGAAAUUAUAUACUGGUAAAACAUUCCCUUUCAUGAUUAGUUCAAAAGUUUGCUGUUGCUUAGUUUAUCGAAGAAAAUACCCUUCAGUGAUUCAAAGUUUGCAACAAAAUUAAAUUCCUUUUUUAAAGGUAAUAGUAUAUCAUUUUUUUCAGAAAGUGAAGGAAGUAUUUGCUAAGUCUUUUUUAUCUUUUAUAUUAGUUUCCCUCAUAGAAAUGGAACCAACCUAGAUUAUAACACUUCAUCAUUAAAAUCUUAAGAAUUUUCU